GACGAACGCUGGCGGCGUGCCUAAUACAUGCAAGUAGAACGCUGAAGGAGGAGCUUGCUUCUCCGGAUGAGUUGCGAACGGGUGAGUAACGCGUAGGUAACCUGCCUGGUAGCGGGGGAUAACUAUUGGAAACGAUAGCUAAUGCCGCAUAAGAGUAGAUGUCGCAUGACAUUUGCUUAAAAGGUGCAACUGCACCACUACCAGAUGGACCUGCGUUGUAUUAGCUAGUUGGUGAGGUAACGGCUCACCAAGGCAACGAUACAUAGCCGACCUGAGAGGGUGAUCGGCCACACUGGGACUGAGACACGGCCCAGACUCCUACGGGAGGCAGCAGUAGGGAAUCUUCGGCAAUGGACGGAAGUCUGACCGAGCAACGCCGCGUGAGUGAAGAAGGGUUUCGGAUCGUAAAGCUCUGUUGUAAGAGAAGAACGAGUGUGAGAGUGGAAAGUUCACACUGUGACGGUAUCUUACCAGAAAGGGACGGCUAACUACGUG
Molecule: ribosomal RNA, 495 nt
Filed under: uncultured bacterium
Lineage: Bacteria
Description: partial 16S ribosomal RNA
Rfam family: Bacterial small subunit ribosomal RNA
Source: RNAcentral